GGCGUAUUGCAGGCAAGUGCAAUUACUCAAUUCAAUCCGAUUGGGAACGAUUGAAACAAUUAGCAGUUUGGAAAAUUAAUUGCAACUUUACUGACGAAUGUCGUCCGUGGCGACCAUUAUUACAAAAAUGGGCGCCAGUCCUGCAUUGACGAUUGCCAGAAACAAAGACAAGGUUCUGAUGGAAAGUGGACGUCGAUUCCUCUU
Long non-coding RNA from Belonocnema kinseyi, 204 nucleotides. RefSeq lists it as uncharacterized. The record is from RefSeq and is a predicted model, not a curated record. The transcript is spliced from 3 exons. Lineage: Eukaryota; Metazoa; Arthropoda; Insecta; Hymenoptera; Cynipidae.